UACGGAGGAUGCGAGCGUUAUCCGGAUUUAUUGGGUUUAAAGGGUGCGUAGGCGGCUUUUUAAGUCAGCGGUGAAAUUUUGCAGCUUAACUGUAACAGUGCCGUUGAUACUGGGGAGCUAGGAUUGGUUGCUGUGGUGGAAUGUGUGGUGUAGCGGUGAAAUGCUUAGAGAUCACACAGAAUAUCGAUUGCGAAGGCAGCUCACAAAGCCAAGAUUGACGCUGAGGCACGAAAGUGUGGGGAUCAAACCAGGAUUAGA
This 258-nucleotide ribosomal RNA is filed under the name uncultured prokaryote. Its description in RNAcentral is "partial 16S ribosomal RNA". It matches the Rfam family "Bacterial small subunit ribosomal RNA", at positions 524 to 782 of the family's 1533-position model. The record is from RNAcentral.